GGUGCUCAGCUCGCUGUGUGGAGAAAUGGUUAGAUUUUUGCUGGAUGACUAAACUGGCAGCUGUUCAGCUGUCCUCCCCACAAAGCUUUUUUAUUUUAUUUUCUUCCUACGCCAUUAUGCGCCAAAUGGAUUGUUCCACUGGAAGGAGUGCCUCCGGGGACACUGGAUAGUAUUCUCCAAAGCGGAUCACGGAGACUGGAUCCACUGUUUACUGACUGAAGGAAAUUCCUCUCGUCACAGGGAAGUUUUGGUAGAAAGAGAAGGCUUGUUACAAAGCAGAGAAACCCGUUUCCGAGGAAAUUGCAAGGGACUUGCAGCCUCGGUGAGUCAGUUUCAACAUAUAACUGGACUUCCCACUCUUGGCUGUUUCCUAAACUUCAGAUAGCAGAGAAAUACUUUUUCUGAAUUAAAACUGGUGGCACAACUCAACCUUGUGGGCCCAAAAGUUUACUUUUAGAGUGUGGCACUGUAAGAGUAAGGUUGGAAAGAACAUCUCUCAGAGAAACCCAGUCUCUGUGUUUAUGCAUAAGAAGGGAGGCACCUGGGCAGUUAUCCAUGCAGAGAUACAGCAGACCGACUAACCUGAGGACGAGCAAUUUCCCUGUGGUUUUGCUUAGGGGAAUGAGUGACCGAUUCAUCGCACCAGAUGCAGGGAUAAAGCUGAGUGGAGGCAAUGCAGGGCCAGAGCAAAGCAUCAUGCAGAGACACAGUGGGCAGCCUCCUCUGCUAUUUGAGGUGAUUUUGAUUUCCUUAUCGUGGUACACUGGGAACCACACAGUGGCCCCAAAAUUCAUUUGUUUGAAAAAUUCUACACCACCCUUCAAGAACAGUUCCCAAGGUAAUGCCAAUUAACAUAAUAAAUGGGGAGGGGGGACAUAAUCAUGACAUAAAACAAAAACAGCAGUGAAAAACAGCACAAAAACAAAUUAGACAAAUUGGAGGAGACCAAAGGAACUAACCAGAUAACAGCAGAACCUCCCUGUGGAGAGUGUUGCAGACAUGGGUGCUGCAACUGAAAAGGCCCUCUCCCUAGUUUCUCACUUGCCUUACACCUGAUCUGGCUGGGGCAUUUGGAGGAAAGUACCGCGACAGGGUGGGCUCCUGUUGUUCGGUCCCUGCUCCUGCCCACCUAGCAGUUCGAAAGCACCCAAAAAGUGCAAGUAGAUAAAUAGGUACCACUCCGGUGGGAAGGUAAACGGCGUUUUUCGUGCACUGCUCUGGUUUCGGUGUUCCGUUGCACCAGAAGCGGCUUAGUCAUGACCCAGAAAAACUGUCUGCAGACAAACGCCAGCUCCCUCGGCCUAUAAAGCGAGAUGAGUGCAGCAACCCCAGAGUCAUUCACAACUGGACUUAACUGUCAAGGGUCCUUUACCUUUACCUUUUUACCGGCAAAUGAUCUCAGUGUGUGGGCCAUUCCAACUGAAAAAAUAUGAAUGACAAAGGAAGAAAUUGCAUUCAGAGCUCAAUUAUGACAUCCACCCACACAGCCAUCACUUCAAACAUCAGAUUCUUGGCCAUUAUCCUCCAGCCCAUACAUACAAUUGUAGAGUUGGAAUUGGCAUGAUUGGCACCAUACUCUAACCAACCGAGCUAUCCAGGAGGGGAAUACACACAUGCAUGCAUGGAUAUAUACAUACACACAUUGGUUUGACAUGUGUGUUGUGCUGGGCCAUGAAAUGCUUUGGACUGCUGUUUGAAUGGUUUAGUUUUGCGUGUGAAGACCCCCAAGAUCUCCCAAAGAAAGACACAGUUGACACCAAUAUCAGUUUAAGCUUAUUGGCAUAAUUUUGGCCACAACUUUAUUGAUUACAGAAUGUGAGUGGUUUGCUUAGGCAUUGGUUCGAGUAGCUGCAUCUACACCUCUGGCAGGGCAGCACUGACAACUGGACUCCGGCAGAAGUCAGUAAGGGGAAACAGAAUGGGGGAGCGUUGGUCCUACCACAGACGCAACCUCACCCCAAAUGAUCCCAGCUGCUCUGGCGUGACCCUAAGCCAGGCUUCCUCAACCUCGGCCCUCCGGAUGCUUUUGGCCUACAAGUCCCAUGAUCCCUCGCUAGCAGGACCAGUGGUCAGGGAUGAUGGGAAUUGUAAUCUCAAAACAUCUGGAGGGCUGAGGUUGAGGAAGCCUGCCCUAACCCCUGGAAGGGGAUCGGACAAAAGCAUGGCGAGCCCCUGGAUUCCUUUAAUGGAAUUCCCUGUCACAUAUUGGGAGGGGCAGGUGUGACAACCUCCCCUCCCCUCUACCUUGAACCAAUGCCUAACCGCCAAACCUUACAAAGUUGUGACAAUUUGCUACGCGGCAGGCGAAACCGAAGUGGCACCAGCCAAGCUGCCAAAUGGGAAAAUUCCUACCGGGCCCCUGUCCCAAAAGCAGACGACCCACGACGGCACAGCAAGGUCAUAGCAAGACCCUAAAUAUAGGGAGGUUGGGUGGGUGAUCCGGCGCACGAAGCAAAAGAGAAAGCUCUACACAACGUGCAGUGGUAUAUAAAGGUCCCUUGGUUAAUACACAAAAUUCCCCAUUGGCCAGAUCUGGCCAGCAACCGAGGGACCACCAAUCAGGUUGUUGCGGCUAUCCAAUCGCUCCCACCCACACAGUGAGGCCAGUCCUGAUGAUCUCACUGCAACACGUGCUCUCCGUGAUGGGGACACGAUUUAUGGGAAUGAGAUGAUUUACAGUGGUACCUCGGGUUACAGACGCUUCAGGUUACAGACUCUGCUAACCCAGAAAUAGUACCUCGGGUUAAGAACUUUGCUUCAGGAUGAGAACAGAAAUUGUGCUCUGGUGGGGCGGAAGCAGCGGGAGGCCCCAUUAGCUAAAGUGGUGCUUCAGGUUAAGAAUAGUUUCAGGUUAAGAACAGACCUCCGGAACGAAUUAAGUACUUAACCCGAGGUACCACUGUAUUCAUUGGAAUGAGAUAAUUUAAUUCAAAUAUGUUAUUUACACAUGAUGUGGUAUGUCCUGAAAGAUGGCAUGGAAAUAUUUAUAAUAAAUUCUGAGUGAAGUGUGUUAUGCUUCUUUUUAUUUUUCUGGCACGCACUGCAAGGUUAAUUACUGACAUACACUGGUGAGGGUUGUACCUACUCAUUUUUUCUGUAACUAUUAUUUGCAUUUCCCUAGUAUUAAAACCCUGGUUCUGAUCAUAGUCACCUAAGUCUGCAGGGGAAAAUCUUUGGCUCCGAAAAGGGAAAUUUCAAUGCACGAGGGAGGAAAUUUUGACGGAGACAGUUCACACACAUGAACAUGACUAGAUCUCCCUUUCGAUUGCACAGAGUUGAGAGGGCUUGCUUAUAUCCUGCGGUUACUGUGGCGUAAUGCAAAAGCAGAAAGGUGCUUUCAAAAAGGAGAAGUUUUGUGCGAACAAACAUGGAUUGACAUCAUAGGAGGAACUGUCAGAGUCUUGGGAAAUAUAUUCUCCACUCAUCGCUUUUGUUCUCUUAGCAUCCCUUGUGUAUAAGUCCCACUUGUGCACUGUAAACCCAAAGCAGCAAUGCACAGCUUCCACUAAAACAGCAGAGAUUUCACGACUUGAAACUGUACCCUUUUCCUGGUUUUCUCUUCCAUACGGAUUUGAACAUGCCCAAACUACAUGUUACAGAAAACAGACUGGGUCUAUUUAGCUUAAUUUAGCUGCCAUUAAAAUUAAUGAGACAAAUUAAUCAUGGCUUAAAUCCCUUUGAAAUCAAUGGGAACUAAGCGGGAACUAAACUUAGUAUAGUAGGCUGCAUUUCUACAAUAUAUACUCCCCUGGGAUUAUGAGUGGGCACAUCUGCCCUUUCCAGUUUCUCAUUUUUCCACUCACAAUUUCAUUUUCCACAUUUCCAAAUGAGUUUGGAAUUUAAAACAAAAAAACCCCACAAGGUAUUCCUGAAAAUUCCUCAGUAUCUUAGUGCAAAUUUCUCCUAAUGAAUACAUUUAUAUGCAAUUUUGCCUAAUAUAGACAUUUUGACAAAGCAACUGCUUUACUCAUUUUAAUAAAGAUUUUUAAAGAUAUGAUUAGGAUCAGCUAAGGAGCAAGAUGGAAGAUUUCUCCCAAUGGUCUGUCCUAAAUCCAUCAUUUGUAGCAUAACCCUCCUGCAGUUGGCAGACAAAAAUGAAUCAUUUUGUUUGAGAGAAUAAACUCUGGGGACAUGAGAAAGAAGGCAGAGUAGCAGUGCCAGAUUUUCAAUUAUAUCUACAUGCUGAUUGGUUGAUUUUUUUUGAAAAGCCCUUGGAAACAUAGCAUGGACCAAUAGUUUAUGUAAUUUGAGAGAAAUGGAAGUGGAGGGAUUUCUAGGGAUUUGGCAAGCUGUGUGGGAUGCCCAAUCGCAACAGGGCAAACAAGAGAUGUAAAUAGUUACAGGUAGGUAGCCGUGUUGGUCUGCCAUAGUCGAAACAAAAUAAAAAUAAAAAUGAAUUUAAAAAUUCCUUCCAGUAGCACCUUAGAGACCAACUAAGUUAGCUAUUGGUAUGAGCUUUCGUGUGCACGCACACUUCGUAAAUGACAUGGAGGGUUUGGCAAAAUGAAUGGCGGGGCAGAGAGAACAGAACCAGGGAAAUUAGGAAUAGAAAAAGUUUGAAAUACAGAUAUUUAACUUUUCCCGAAAGGAGGAAAUGCAACAGAGCUCAUUCUCAGUGACUCACAGUGAGCCAGAAUUCCAUCAUGUAGACCAAAUAACAGAGUAACGGGGCUUUUCUCUCAAAAUUUACAGUUGGGGAUUUUACCAUGCCUCUGUUAAAAAAAUGAAAUAAAACCCUGCAGCUUGUUUUUAUUCCAGUGCAGUUGAUGAUACCGUAGUUUCCAUGGCUGGCUCUGGCAUGGUGGCUUGGUCAUGCUGUAAGAGCCAAGUAUCACAGAAAAGGUUACAUGUGCGAUUUGAUGUUAUGCACAGAAAUAUUUGUGUCUUAACAUUUAGCGCCAACAAAGGUCCGUAUAGUUAAAGCUAUGGUUUUCCCAGUAGUGAUGUAUGGAAGUGAGAGCUGGACCAUAAAGAAGGCUGAUCGCCGAAGAAUUGAUGCUUUUGAAUUUUGGUGCCGCCGGAGACAAUUGAGAGUCUCAUGGACUGCAAGAAGAUCAAACCCAUCCAUUCUGAAGGAAAUCAGCCCUGAGUGCUCACUGCAAGGACAGAUCCUGAAGCUGAGGCUCCAAUACUUUGGCCACCCCAUGAGAAGUGAAAACCCCCUGGAAAAAACCCUGAUGUUGGGAAAGAUGGAGGGCACAAGGAGAAGGGGAUGACAGAGGACGAGAUGGUUGGACAGUGUUCUUGAAGCUACAAACAUGAGUCUGACCAAACUGCAGGAAGCAGUGGAAGACAGGCGUGCCUGGCGUGCUCUGGUCCAGAGGGUCACGAAGAGUCGGACACGACUAAACGACUAAACAACAACAACAACAUUUAGCGCACCUGUAUCAGCAGGAUGUGGAACUAGCAGGUCCUAGUCUGGACAGAGUCAUACAAACACACCCUAUGUAUUUUUAAGGAUGAAAUACUACUCCUUUUGCUACUAUUCAAAACAUCUGAGACUUACACCCCAUGGAGGCCAGCUUUUGUAGUCAUUUCAUCCAAUGGGGCAUAAAUCCUAUCUAAACUGAAAUUGAAAAAGAACAAGUAAUUAAACAUGUUCAUUUAACUUUAGUUCACUGGCAUAUGACUCGUUUGUAAUGGGUUUAAAUAAUAAUAAUAAUGUUGCCACAGGAUAUAUUAAUCAACAGCAAUAUCCAAUGGUCUCUGUCUGAUAACAUUUGACCGAGGAAAUGUCCUUCCAGGAGAUAACACCAAAUCUGCUCUUUCUCUGCUGUUUUAAACAGGAAGUUAACCCAAGCAACAAGCAAGCUGUUUCUGGUGCCAUGAGCUGAAGUGAAAAAUGGA
Non-coding RNA from Podarcis lilfordi (Lilford's wall lizard), 5847 nucleotides. The record is from the annotation of a GenBank genome assembly. Lineage: Eukaryota; Metazoa; Chordata; Lepidosauria; Squamata; Lacertidae.